Molecule: ribosomal RNA, 492 nt
Filed under: uncultured bacterium
Lineage: Bacteria
Description: partial 16S ribosomal RNA
Rfam family: Bacterial small subunit ribosomal RNA
Source: RNAcentral
AGUGAACGCUGGCGGUAGGCCUAACACAUGCAAGUCGAACGGCAGCACAGUAAGAGCUUGCUCUUACGGGUGGCGAGUGGCGGACGGGUGAGGAAUACAUCGGAAUCUACUUUUUCGUGGGGGAUAACGUAGGGAAACUUACGCUAAUACCGCAUACGACCUACGGGUGAAAGCAGGGGAUCUUCGCACCUUGCGCGAUUGAAUGAGCCGAUGUGGUAUUAGCUAGUUGGCGGGGUUAAGGCCCACCAAGGCGACGAUCGGUUGCUGGUCUGAGAGGAUGAUCGCCCGCACUGGAAGUGGACCACGGUCCAUGCUCCUAAGGGAGGCAGCAGUGGGGAAUGGUGGACAGUGGGCGCAAGCCUGGUCCAGCCAUACCGCGUGGGUGAAGAAGGCCUUCGGGUUGUAAAGCCCUUUUGUUGGGAAAAAAAAGCAGCAGGUUAAUACCCCGCUGUUCUGACGGUACCCAAAGAAUAAGCACCGGCUAACUUCGUG